This 312-nucleotide unclassified non-coding RNA is filed under the name uncultured fungus. RNAcentral's name for it is "sequence contains ITS2". The stretch from base 1 to 52 matches the Rfam family "5.8S ribosomal RNA", at positions 103 to 154 of the family's 154-position model. The record is from RNAcentral. Lineage: Eukaryota; Fungi.
AACGCAUCUUGCACCCUUUGGUGUUCCGAAGGGUAUGCCUGUUUGAGUGUCUUUAACGACAUCAACUCCACCCGAGAGGCUUUACCCCCUCUCGGGUGGACGUUGGACGUGAGCGCUGCCGUGAUCGGUUUCACCGGCUCGCUUGAAAAGCGUUAAGCCCGAUCCUCAUCGGUCCUACCCCGUCAGGUUGGUGUUGUAGAUCUCUCGAAUCGCCUCGUGACGGGCGUGACCUUUGGGCCGUCGAGCUUUGUGUGAACGUGCCUCGUUCUUGAAUCGGACCUCAAAUCAGGUAGGACUACCCGCUGAACUUAA